AGGGCACUACCAGGAGUGGAGCCUGCGGCUUAAUUUGACUCAACACGGGGAAACUCACCCGGCCCGGACACCGUAAGGAUUGACAGAUUGAUAGCUUUUUCAUGAUUCGGUGGAUGGUGGUGCAUGGCCGUUCUUAGUUCGUGGAGCGAUUUGUCUGGUUUAUUCCGAUAACGAGCGAGACUCUGGCCUACUAAAUAGUUGGCGCAUUGCUAUUGUGCGUACAACUUCUUAGAGGGAUUUUCGGUGUUCAGCCGCACGAAAUUGAGCAAUUUUUUUGUCUGUGAUGCCCUUAGAUGUCCGGGGCUGCACGCGCGCUACACUGGCAAAAUCAGCGUGCUUGUCCUUCCCCGAAAGGGGUUGGUAAACCCGUGAAAAUUUGCCGUGAUUGGGAUCGGACAUUGCAAUUAUUGUCCGUGAACGAGGAAUUCCUUGUAGGGGCGAGUCAUCAACUCGCUCUGAAUACGUCCCUGCCCUUUGUACACACCGCCCGUCGCUGCCCGGGACUGAGCCACUUCGAGA
RNAcentral lists this ribosomal RNA (519 nucleotides) under uncultured eukaryote. RNAcentral's name for it is "SSU rRNA". It matches the Rfam family "Eukaryotic small subunit ribosomal RNA", at positions 1161 to 1704 of the family's 1831-position model. The record is from RNAcentral.